CCUACGGGAGGCUGCAGUGGGGAAUAUUGCACAAUGGGGGAAACCCUGAUGCAGCGACGCCGCGUGAGUGAAGAAGUAUUUCGGUACGUAAAGCUCUAUCAGCAGGGAAGAAAAUGACGGUACCUGACCAAGAAGCCCCGGCGAACUACGGGCCAGCAGCCGCGGUAAUACGUAGGGGGCAAGCGUUAUCCGGAUUUACUGGGUGAAAAGGGAGCGUAGACGGCAGCGCAAGUCUGGAGUGAAAUGCCGGGGCCCAACCCCGGAACUGCUUUGGAAACUGUGCAGCUGGAGUGCAGGAGAGGUAAGCGGAAUUCCUAUUGUAGCGGUUACCUGCGUAGAUAUUAGGAGG
Molecule: ribosomal RNA, 349 nt
Filed under: uncultured bacterium
Lineage: Bacteria
Description: partial 16S ribosomal RNA
Rfam family: Bacterial small subunit ribosomal RNA
Source: RNAcentral